Molecule: ribosomal RNA, 253 nt
Filed under: uncultured bacterium
Lineage: Bacteria
Description: partial 16S ribosomal RNA
Rfam family: Bacterial small subunit ribosomal RNA
Source: RNAcentral
UACAGGAGGCCCGAGCGUUAGUCGGAAUCACUGGGCUUAAAGGGUGCGUAGGCGGGCCCGUAUGUGUACCGUGAAAUCCCUCGGCUCAACCGGGGAACUGCGGCGCAAACGGCGGGUCUUGAGGAAGGUAGGGGUCGCUGGGACGCGCGGUGGAGCGGUGAAAUGCGUUGAUAUCGAGCGGAACGCCGAAGGUGAAGACAAGCGACUGGGCCUCUCCUGACGCUGAGGCACGAAAGCGUGGGGAUCAAACAGG